This 495-nucleotide ribosomal RNA is filed under the name uncultured bacterium. RNAcentral's name for it is "partial 16S ribosomal RNA". It matches the Rfam family "Bacterial small subunit ribosomal RNA", at positions 28 to 507 of the family's 1533-position model. The record is from RNAcentral.
GACGAACGCUGGCGGCGUGCCUAAUACAUGCAAGUAGAACGCUGAAGGAGGAGCUUGCUCUUCUGGAUGAGUUGCGAACGGGUGAGUAACGCGUAGGUAACCUGCCUGGUAGCGGGGGAUAACUAUUGGAAACGAUAGCUAAUACCGCAUAACAGUAGAUGUUGCAUGACAUUUACUUAAAAGGUGCAAUUGCAUCACUACCAGAUGGACCUGCGUUGUAUUAGCUAGUUGGUGGGGUAACGGCUCACCAAGGCGACGAUACAUAGCCGACCUGAGAGGGUGAUCGGCCACACUGGGACUGAGACACGGCCCAGACUCCUACGGGAGGCAGCAGUAGGGAAUCUUCGGCAAUGGACGGAAGUCUGACCGAGCAACGCCGCGUGAGUGAAGAAGGGUUUCGGAUCGUAAAGCUCUGUUGUAAGAGAAGAACGAGUGUGAGAGUGGAAAGUUCACACUGUGACGGUAUCUGACCAGAAAGGGACGGCUAACUACGUG